GUGGGGAAUUUUGGACAAUGGGCGAAAGCCUGAUCCAGCAAUGCCGCGUGUGUGAAGAAGGCCUUCGGGUUGUAAAGCACUUUUGUCCGGAAAGAAAUCCUUUGGGUUAAUACCUCGGAGGGAUGACGGUACCGGAAGAAUAAGGACCGGCUAACUACGUGCCAGCAGCCGCGGUAAUACGUAGGGUCCGAGCGUUAAUCGGAAUUACUGGGCGUAAAGCGUGCGCAGGCGGUUUUGUAAGACAGGCGUGAAAUCCCCGGGCUCAACCUGGGAAUUGCGCUUGUGACUGCAAGGCUGGAGUGCGGCAGAGGGGGAUGGAAUUCCGCGUGUAGCAGUGAAAUGCGUAGAUAUGCGGAGGAACACCGAUGGCGAAGGCAAUCCCCUGGGCCUGCACUGACGCUCAUGCACGAAAGCGUGGGGAGCAAACAGGAUUAGAAACCCGGGUAGUCC
Molecule: ribosomal RNA, 450 nt
Filed under: uncultured bacterium
Lineage: Bacteria
Description: partial 16S ribosomal RNA
Rfam family: Bacterial small subunit ribosomal RNA
Source: RNAcentral